Molecule: ribosomal RNA, 253 nt
Filed under: uncultured bacterium
Lineage: Bacteria
Description: partial 16S ribosomal RNA
Rfam family: Bacterial small subunit ribosomal RNA
Source: RNAcentral
UACGGAGGGGGCUAGCGUUGUUCGGAAUUACUGGGCGUAAAGCGCGCGUAGGCGGACCUGCAAGUCGGGGGUGAAAGCCCGAGGCUCAACCUCGGAACUGCCUUCGAUACUGCGGGUCUCGAGUCCGGGAGAGGUGAGUGGAAUUCCUAGUGUAGAGGUGAAAUUCGUAGAUAUUCGCAAGAACACCAGUGGCGAAGGCGGCUGACUGGUCCGGUUCUGACGCUGAGGCGCGAAAGCGUGGGGAGCAAACAGG